AGUGAACGCUGGCGGUAGGCCUAACACAUGCAAGUCGAACGGCAGCACAGUAAGAGCUUGCUCUUACGGGUGGCGAGUGGCGGACGGGUGAGGAAUACAUCGGAAUCUACUUUUUCGUGGGGGAUAACGUAGGGAAACUUACGCUAAUACCGCAUACGACCUACGGGUGAAAGCAGGGGAUCUUCGGACCUUGCGCGAUUGAAUGAGCCGAUGUCGGAUUAGCUAGUUGGCGGGGUAAAGGCCCACCAAGGCGACGAUCCGUAGCUGGUCUGAGAGGAUGGUCGGCCACACUGGAACUGAGACACGGUCAAGACUCCUACGGGAGGCAGCAGUAGGGAAUAUUGGACAAUGGGCGCAAGCCUGAUCCAGCCAUACCGCGGGGGUGAAGAAGGCCUUCGGGUUGUAAAGCCCUUUUGUUGGGGAAGAAAAGCAGCAGGUUAAUACCCCGCUGUUCUGACGGUACCCAAAGAAUAAGCACCGGCUAACUUCGUG
Molecule: ribosomal RNA, 492 nt
Filed under: uncultured bacterium
Lineage: Bacteria
Description: partial 16S ribosomal RNA
Rfam family: Bacterial small subunit ribosomal RNA
Source: RNAcentral